RNAcentral lists this small RNA (67 nucleotides) under Sporosarcina newyorkensis. RNAcentral describes it as "Bacillaceae-1 RNA". It matches the Rfam family "Bacillaceae-1 RNA". The record is from RNAcentral. Lineage: Bacteria; Bacillati; Bacillota; Bacilli; Caryophanales; Caryophanaceae.
AAUAGGAGAACGCAGGCUAGAAACGCCACAUCCUGUGGCAAUGCCUGCAUAACCUACAUCCUGUAGG